AUGCAAACUUGACAACGACUAAUACGCGUCCUCAAGUCUCCAGCUUUCAGUGUCUCUGACUGAGGUUUACUGGUUGACAGACACAAAGGUGACAGAUGCUCAGUCUUGUCCAGUGUCUCAGUAUACACAAGCUGAGGCCUGUGACUGGUUAGUCCUACUCACAAUGGGGUUUGGACUACAUAACCAUUUCACUGACAAUAUUCAACAUCACAGGGCCUGGAGCUUGGCAAAUAUGCAGAAUUAGUUGGUGCAGGAACAAAAUGCAACAUGGAAUGGGAAGAUGAAAACGGCAUGAUGGUGCACUGAGUCCAUGGGAGCCACAUGACACAA
Long non-coding RNA from Aquila chrysaetos chrysaetos, 330 nucleotides. RefSeq lists it as uncharacterized. The transcript is spliced from 4 exons. The record is from RefSeq and is a predicted model, not a curated record. NCBI's taxonomy places the organism in Eukaryota, Metazoa, Chordata, Aves, Accipitriformes, Accipitridae.